This 73-nucleotide transfer RNA is filed under the name Podarcis lilfordi (Lilford's wall lizard). It matches the Rfam family "tRNA". Rfam says of the family: Transfer RNA (tRNA) molecules are approximately 80 nucleotides in length. Their secondary structure includes four short double-helical elements and three loops (D, anti-codon, and T loops). Further hydrogen bonds mediate the characteristic L-shaped molecular structure. tRNAs have two regions of fundamental functional importance: the anti-codon, which is responsible for specific mRNA codon recognition, and the 3' end, to which the tRNAs corresponding amino acid is attached (by aminoacyl-tRNA synthetases). tRNAs cope with the degeneracy of the genetic code in two manners: having more than one tRNA (with a specific anti-codon) for a particular amino acid; and 'wobble' base-pairing, i.e. permitting non-standard base-pairing at the 3rd anti-codon position. Lineage: Eukaryota; Metazoa; Chordata; Lepidosauria; Squamata; Lacertidae. The record is from Rfam by way of RNAcentral.
GUUUCUGUAGUGUAGUGGUUAUCAUGUUCGCCUCACAUGCGAAAGGUCCCUGGUUCGAAACCAUGCAGAAACA